This 1030-nucleotide ribosomal RNA is filed under the name Salmonella enterica subsp. enterica serovar Orion. RNAcentral describes it as "partial 23S ribosomal RNA". It matches the Rfam family "Bacterial large subunit ribosomal RNA", at positions 1163 to 2152 of the family's 2925-position model. The record is from RNAcentral. Lineage: Bacteria; Pseudomonadati; Pseudomonadota; Gammaproteobacteria; Enterobacterales; Enterobacteriaceae.
UAAAGCGAUUCAGCGGGUUACGAUUGACGGAGCGGAGCGACGUCAAAGCGUAUACAAAGUCGAGUCGGUUUAAGGAUACGUUCGUUGGGUAGGGGAGCGUUCUGUAAGCCUGUGAAGGUGUGUCGUGAGGCAUGCUGGAGGUAUCAGAAGUGCGAAUGCUGACAUAAGUAACGAUAAAGCGGGUGAAAAGCCCGCUCGCCGGAAGACCAAGGGUUCCUGUCCAACGUUAAUCGGGGCAGGGUGAGUCGACCCCUAAGGCGAGGCCGAAAGGCGUAGUCGAUGGGAAACGGGUUAAUAUUCCCGUACUUGGUGUUACUGCGAAGGGGGGACGGAGAAGGCUAUGUUGGCCGGGCGACGGUUGUCCCGGUUUAAGCGUGUAGGUGUGUGUUCCAGGUAAAUCCGGUUCACUUUAACACUGAGGCGUGACGACGAGGCACUACGGUGCUGAAGCAACAAAUGCCCUGCUUCCAGGAAAAGCCUCUAAGCAUCAGGUAACAUCAAAUCGUACCCCAAACCGACACAGGUGGUCAGGUAGAGAAUACCAAGGCGCUUGAGAGAACUCGGGUGAAGGAACUAGGCAAAAUGGUGCCGUAACUUCGGGAGAAGGCACGCUGACACGUAGGUGAAGUGAUUUACUCACGGAGCUGAAGUCAGUCGAAGAUACCAGCUGGCUGCAACUGUUUAUUAAAAACACAGCACUGUGCAAACACGAAAGUGGACGUAUACGGUGUGACGCCUGCCCGGUGCCGGAAGGUUAAUUGAUGGGGUCAGCGCAAGCGAAGCUCCUGAUCGAAGCCCCGGUAAACGGCGGCCGUAACUAUAACGGUCCUAAGGUAGCGAAAUUCCUUGUCGGGUAAGUUCCGACCUGCACGAAUGGCGUAAUGAUGGCCAGGCUGUCUCCACCCGAGACUCAGUGAAAUUGAACUCGCUGUGAAGAUGCAGUGUACCCGCGGCAAGACGGAAAGACCCCGUGAACCUUUACUAUAGCUUGACACUGAACAUUGAGCCUUGAUGUGUAGGAUAGGUGGGA